This 68-nucleotide transfer RNA is filed under the name Caryopemon giganteus. RNAcentral describes it as "tRNA-Ile". The record is from RNAcentral. Lineage: Eukaryota; Metazoa; Arthropoda; Insecta; Coleoptera; Chrysomelidae.
UAUGAAGUGCCUGAGUAAAGGAUAAUUUUGAUAGAAUUAAUAACGUGAGCCCCCCCCACCUUCAUAAU